RNAcentral lists this transfer RNA (72 nucleotides) under Daphnia pulicaria. Its description in RNAcentral is "tRNA-Glu". It matches the Rfam family "tRNA". Rfam says of the family: Transfer RNA (tRNA) molecules are approximately 80 nucleotides in length. Lineage: Eukaryota; Metazoa; Arthropoda; Branchiopoda; Diplostraca; Daphniidae. The record is from RNAcentral.
UCCCAUAUUGUCUAGUGGUUAGGAUACCUGGCUCUCACCCAGGAGGCCCGGGUUCAAUUCCUGGUAUGGGAA